GUCUAUGUUCUCCCGCACGCGGCUCCUCCUCCUACCUGAAUCCAAUGCCAAUUACUGUCACGGAGCUCACGUUCAUGCAGCUACGGGCCACCGCGCUGAUGUUCCACAUCGGACAUAUAUAAUUAAAAACACGCACGCCGGGAUUCCAGAAGCAACUUAAUAUCUGUGGUCUUGACACGUGAAAGCAGGAAGAGCUCAGCUAGGCACCCGACACAACCAGCACGACUAAUUGAUGUCUUCGUGGCAACAUGUUCUACUUAUUGGAACGAUACUGCUGUUCCCGUCUUACAAAUGUUAUGCAGCAAAAGGCUGUCAAGAGAACAGGGAAAUUAAUAAACUGAAGUUUUAUUACUCUGUUUUGCUUAAUCAAUGAAAACAGGAAUUUAUUACUAAGCUUGACCACAGUCAUAUAAUAUAUAUAAUCAUAUAAAUCAUGCUUCAGCACUUUCAAUGUGUCACAUGUUUCAUAAACAUUUUAAUUAAACCUGUAGCAUCCCCAUUGUGUCAUACUUCUAAAAAUGAAGUCAAUGACAUUUAGCCUAAAUUUAGCUUUGGGUCAGUGUUUGUUGGAAUUUAAUGAGGCACAGCAAAGUAAAACAUUCCUCUAGCUAGAAAUAUAGCUAAAAUGGCAACAAUGUGAAUAAGGAACAACUUCUAAAUAUAUUCCUACAAGUUAUUUGAAGCAUUUAUCCUGGAAAAAAACAAUCUAGGAAAACAUAUAGGUUUGGAGUUCAAUUACUAAAGAGGCAGCAAGUGUGCAUUUUUGUUCUGUAGUUAUAUACCAAAAGCAUUGAUCAUUUUUUCCUAAGCAACUGGAUUCCAGUUGGUCAAAAAUGCAACCAAUUGUCUCAGGAAGACAUCUGUGAAUAGUUUCAAAAAGAUCAAAUAACUUUACAAACAAAAUAAUACAAGAAUGCAGGUACUGUGCACACAGAUGUACAAUGAGUUUUGGCUCAGGAUUAACUAUAUAGUAGGAACAGAUAAGCCUUUGAGAAUAAAUUACAGUAAUUCUGCCACCUAGUGGUAAAGAACAACUAACACUAAAACAGCAAGGAGGUAAUCCACAUUGUAAACUUAUGUAAACCCAUAUGUAAUGUCCAUACAAGCCCAUAUGUAAUGAAUACUGCACUCCAGUUCAUGACAUCCAGUGAGCACCUUAAGGAUGCAGGGAGAACCACAUGCAUUACCAUUGGUUUAACUUGACAAGUUUUGAAUACUAUUUACACCAGGGGUGUCAAACUCCAGUCCUCGAGGGCCGGAGCCCUGCACAGGUUUUGGGUUUCCCCUCAUUUAACACACCUGAUUCAGCUCCUUGUGCUAAUUACCACACAGCUCUUGAGCUGAAUCAUUUGUGGUGGAACAGGGAAAGAACUAAGCUACACUGGGCUCCGGCCCCCCCAGGUCUGCAGUUUGACGCUUCUAAUAUACAGAGUCACUGCCCUGCUUGUCUGACUUCCAGUGUGUUAACAUAUUUUUCAGAACCUGUAUGUGUAACUGGACCAUUCUGCAAACAAUUAACAAGUCAUUUUUUAGUGAUAUUAAGAUAAAAUUUGCUCAAUAAAAAUCAUGCAAUUUUACUGAAAAUAAAUGAACCU
Molecule: long non-coding RNA, 1595 nt
Organism: Paramormyrops kingsleyae
Lineage: Eukaryota; Metazoa; Chordata; Actinopteri; Osteoglossiformes; Mormyridae
Source: RefSeq, a predicted model, not a curated record